UAGAGGCUGAGGAGACAGGAAUGGAGCCAAGGUGGCAGAGGUGGGAGGCGGGAGGGAAACCCA
Molecule: unclassified non-coding RNA, 63 nt
Organism: Myotis lucifugus (little brown bat)
Lineage: Eukaryota; Metazoa; Chordata; Mammalia; Chiroptera; Vespertilionidae
Source: Ensembl